AGAAGUCUGGGGAAGAGCCGGCGAAGAGCAAAGAGAUAAUACAGUACUCCCAGCUAUAGCAAGCGGCAGUUAUGGAGCAUGCGCAGCAGCAGGGGCGGCCGCAGGUCGCCGUUCAAUAAUACUCAAGGGAUUUGUACAGCCCUGUAGGAGACACCUCCAGAGAAAGUAACAGCUCUCAAUUGAUUAGCUGAGAAUAAACAGAUGCUUUUACAGCUCGCCUUGGCGGGAAGAUCUGGCACAAAUGAAGUAUCUAUAAGGAGCAGCAGAGUCAAGGUGGUGAUCCUGUGGAUGAAUAACUGAAACCUGAUAUACUUGACAGCAGAAAAUAUAAAGCAAAUUGAAAAGGAGAGAGUGUGGAGAUAAAUAAGAAAAUGAAAGAACUGAUAAAGUCACUUGGAUUAAAAAACCUGGGAGUAAGGGCUUUGUUUAUGAUUGAACUUAAGAGAGAAUUGAGGGACCACCUACCUUUGAUGUUAACGAGAAAGUAAAGAGGAAACAUAUUUAGAGAUACCCUUUGGUGAAAAACAGAAAUGGAUGUGUCAUUUGAUGCAUCACAUUAUUUAUUCAACAAACUCUUAGUGAGAACUUACUGUGUAUGAAAGACUGGACUGAAACAUAUAUAAGAAAUAAUUUUUGGCCCAAGGAAUUUAUAGUAUAAUUGAGGAAACAAAUACAAAUCACUUCUGCAAAGUAGCAGAGACACAGAUGAGGAAUUGUAAUGUUUGUAAAAUCAAAGUGGUGGGAGUAGUCAAAAAAGUGUUUACAGAAUGGUAUUCAAAAUGGGCCUGAAGGCAGAAAUCAGACUGGUUGUUACCUGGAAAACAAGGAGAGAAAGGACAAGGCAGGAGAAGAGAACAAGUACAAAGGCAUGUGGGGGUAGGAAGGCAUGGCAUGGGUAGAAAAUGCCAGUUAAAUUGACAUUGUGGGAAAAUAACGAGUUUAGCGUAUGGGGGCAUAGCAAAUAAUGACUCUGGUUUCGGCAAAACCCCAGGGGAAAGAAAAUGAGAUCCUGAACUAUGGCAGUAACAGAGGGGAGUGGGAAAAGAGGAUUAACUAGAGAAAUAUUUAGAAACUAAGAAUCUCAGGAUUUAGUACUUCUUGGGGAAGCCAUCGUGAAUGCUGGCUCUCAAGCUGCAUUAUCAACAAACAAAAAUAUUGAUACCUUAAAGUUAAAGUCCCACCCUCCUUUUAGAGACUGUAAGACAUAGUUCUAUCUUGUCUCACAUCUCUACCUCUGUUAAUCUCCAUUUGGGCCAAGCAUCCUCAACAUGCCUAUUCUCAUAUUCCUCCAAUUACAACCUCCAGGGUCUUCAUGUUGCAGAACUCACGGAGUUGGAUUCUAUGUGAAUUGUAAAUCGGGUACAAGGUGCAUAAUGCCCUAUUUACCUUUUCCUUAGCUUCCAAAUUCUUUUAUCAUGAUCUCCAAAAUGCCACCCAGCAUGUCUAACUCUGCGAUCAACAAAACACCGUAUGACCUCAACCUCUUUCCUGAGGUUUCUUGCAUUAAUGGAAGUUGCCCUGAGCUCUGAUGUCCUUGCUUCUCUUGCAGCCCUCCCACGUCGAAGCGGUUUUUUCCUUCACCUUUUUUUUAAGUAUUUUAAAAUUUAUUUUCAUGCCUUUAACACCUUAUGAAUUUGUGUGAAUCAUUCAAGAUUACAUCUGCCUUCCUUUCAAACUAGCUAUGAGAUAUUUGAUUCACCUUGACAAACUGUUCAUUCUACACAACUGGCAAUCUCCACAGUUCAUUCUCUCAGUUGGGUUGAUUCCAACCUCCUCAGAAAAGGGUAUCAAUGGAAUAAGGGUUUUUAAUUUUUAACUUUUUUUUCUUUUUUUUUGAGACAGAGUCUCACUCUGUCACCCAGACUGGAGUGCAAUGGCUUGAUCUCGGUUUACUGCAACCUCCACCUCCCAGGUUCAAGUGAUUCUCCUGCCUCAGCCUCCCGAGUAGCUGGGAUUACAGGCACCCACCACUAUACCCAGCUAAUUUUUGUAUUUUUAGUAGAGAUGGGGUUUCACCAUGUUGGCCAGGCUGGUCUUGAAUUCCUGACCUCAGGUGAUCCACAUGCCUCAGCCUCCCAAAGUGCUGGGAUUACAGGUGUGAGCCAACACGCCUAGCCCAAUUUUUUAUUUUUUAUUAUACUUUAAGUUCUGGGAUACAUGUGCAGAACGUGCAGGUUUGUUACCUAGGUAUACACAUACCAUUGUGAUUUGCUGCACCCAUCAACCCGUCAUCUACAGUAGCUAUUUCUCCUAAUGCUAGCCCUCCUCUAGUCCCCAAACCCCCAACAGGCCCUGGUGUGUGAUGGUCCCCUCCGUGUCCAUGUGUUCUCAUUGUUCAACUCCCACUUAUGAGUGAGAACAUGCAGUGUUUGGUUUUCUAUUCCUGUGUCAGUUUGUGAGAAUGAUGGUUUCCAGCUUCAUCCAUGUCCUUGCAAAGGACAUGAACUCUUCCUUUGUUAUGGCUGCAUAGUAUUCCAUGGCGUAUAUGUGCCACAUUUUCUUUAUUCAGUCUAUCAUUGAUGGGCAUUUGCCAAGUCUUUGCUAUUGUGAACAGUGCUGCAAUAAACAUACUUGUACAUGUGUGAUAGUA
Long non-coding RNA from Homo sapiens (human), 2590 nucleotides. RefSeq lists it as uncharacterized. The record is from RefSeq and is a predicted model, not a curated record. Lineage: Eukaryota; Metazoa; Chordata; Mammalia; Primates; Hominidae. The transcript is spliced from 3 exons.